UAACACCAGCCCCCCGAGUGGUGGGGAUGUUUAUUUGGCCUAAAGCGUCCGUAGCCGGCUCGGUAAAUCUCUCGUUAAAUCCAGCGUCCUAAGCGUUGGGCUGCGAGAGAGACUGCCAAGCUAGAGGGUGGGAGAGGUUAGCGGUAUUUCUGGGGUAGGGGCGAAAUCCAUUGAUCCCAGGAGGACCACCAGUGGCGAAGGCUGCUGACUUGAACACGCCUGACGGUGAGGGACGAAAGCUGGGGUAGCGAAUCGGAUUAGAUACCCGAGUAGUCCCAGCCGUAAACGAUGCAAGCUAGGUGUUGGGUUGGCCACGUGCCGACUCAGUGCCACAGCGAAGGCGUUAAGCUCGCCGCCUGGGGAGUACGGCCGCAAGGCUG
This 380-nucleotide ribosomal RNA is filed under the name uncultured archaeon. RNAcentral's name for it is "bacterial SSU rRNA". It matches the Rfam family "Archaeal small subunit ribosomal RNA", at positions 471 to 851 of the family's 1478-position model. The record is from RNAcentral.